UCUGAAUAUGGGGGGACCAUCCUCCAAGGCUAAAUACUCCUGACUGACCGAUAGUGAACCAGUACCGUGAGGGAAAGGCGAAAAGAACCCCGGCGAGGGGAGUGAAAAAGAACCUGAAACCGUGUACGUACAAGCAGUGGGAGCACCUUCGGGUGUGACUGCGUACCUUUUGUAUAAUGGGUCAGCGACUUAUAUUCUGUAGCAAGGUUAACCGUAUAGGGGAGCCGCAGGGAAACCGAGUCUUAACUGGG
Molecule: ribosomal RNA, 251 nt
Filed under: Klebsiella pneumoniae
Lineage: Bacteria; Pseudomonadati; Pseudomonadota; Gammaproteobacteria; Enterobacterales; Enterobacteriaceae
Description: partial 23S ribosomal RNA
Rfam family: Bacterial large subunit ribosomal RNA
Source: RNAcentral